GACGAACGCUGGCGGCGUGCUUAACACAUGCAAGUCGAACGGAAAGGCCUGCUUUCCCUUGUGGAUUGCGGGUACUCGAGUGGCGAACGGGUGAGUAACACGUGAGUGAUCUGCCCCCAACUUGGGUAUAAGCCUGGGAAACUGGGUCUAAUUCCCGAUAGGACUGCAGGGUGGUGCCUGUGGUGGAAAACGAUUUUCUAGUGGUUGGGGAUGAGCUCGCGGCCUAUCAGCUUGUUGGUGGGGUAAUGGCCUACCAAGGCGGCGACGGGUAGCCGGCCUGAGAGGGUGGACGGCCACAUUGGGACUGAGAUACGGCCCAGACGCCUACGGGAGGCAGCAGUGGGGAAUAUUGCACGAUGGGCGGAAGCCUGAUGCAGCGACGCCGCGUGGGGGAUGACGGCCUUCGGGUUGUAAACUCCUUUCGACCGCGAGGAAGCCACCUGGUUGGAAGGGUGGUGACGGUAGUGGUAGAAGAAGCACCGGCUAACUACGUG
This 494-nucleotide ribosomal RNA is filed under the name uncultured bacterium. Its description in RNAcentral is "partial 16S ribosomal RNA". It matches the Rfam family "Bacterial small subunit ribosomal RNA", at positions 28 to 507 of the family's 1533-position model. The record is from RNAcentral.